GGGUUGUGAGGUUAAGCGACUAAGCGUACACGGUGGAUGCCCUGGCAGUCAGAGGCGAUGAAGGACGUGCUAAUCUGCGAUAAGCGUCGGUAAGGUGAUAUGAACCGUUAUAACCGGCGAUUUCCGAAUGGGGAAACCCAGUGUGUUUCGACACACUAUCAUUAACUGAAUCCAUAGGUUAAUGAGGCGAACCGGGGGAACUGAAACAUCUAAGUACCCCGAGGAAAAGAAAUCAACCGAGAUUCCCCCAGUAGCGGCGAGCGAACGGGGAGCAGCCCAGAGCCUGAAUCAGUGUGUGUGUUAGUGGAAGCGUCUGGAAAGGCGUGCGAUACAGGGUGACAGCCCCGUACACAAAAAUGCACAUGCUGUGAGCUCGAUGAGUAGGGCGGGACACGUGGUAUCCUGUCUGAAUAUGGGGGGACCAUCCUCCAAGGCUAAAUACUCCUGACUGACCGAUAGUGAACCAGUACCGUGAGGGAAAGGCGAAAAGAACCCCGGCGAGGGGAGUGAAAAAGAACCUGAAACCGUGUACGUACAAGCAGUGGGAGCCUCUUUUAUGGGGUGACUGCGUACCUUUUGUAUAAUGGGUCAGCGACUUAUAUUCUGUAGCAAGGUUAACCGAAUAGGGGAGCCGAAGGGAAACCGAGUCUUAACUGGGCGUUAAGUUGCAGGGUAUAGACCCGAAACCCGGUGAUCUAGCCAUGGGCAGGUUGAAGGUUGGGUAACACUAACUGGAGGACCGAACCGACUAAUGUUGAAAAAUUAGCGGAUGACUUGUGGCUGGGGGUGAAAGGCCAAUCAAACCGGGAGAUAGCUGGUUCUCCCCGAAAGCUAUUUAGGUAGCGCCUCGUGAAUUCAUCUCCGGGGGUAGAGCACUGUUUCGGCAAGGGGGUCAUCCCGACUUACCAACCCGAUGCAAACUGCGAAUACCGGAGAAUGUUAUCACGGGAGACACACGGCGGGUGCUAACGUCCGUCGUGAAGAGGGAAACAACCCAGACCGCCAGCUAAGGUCCCAAAGUCAUGGUUAAGUGGGAAACGAUGUGGGAAGGCCCAGACAGCCAGGAUGUUGGCUUAGAAGCAGCCAUCAUUUAAAGAAAGCGUAAUAGCUCACUGGUCGAGUCGGCCUGCGCGGAAGAUGUAACGGGGCUAAACCAUGCACCGAAGCUGCGGCAGCGACACUAUGUGUUGUUGGGUAGGGGAGCGUUCUGUAAGCCUGUGAAGGUGUGCUGUGAGGCAUGCUGGAGGUAUCAGAAGUGCGAAUGCUGACAUAAGUAACGAUAAAGCGGGUGAAAAGCCCGCUCGCCGGAAGACCAAGGGUUCCUGUCCAACGUUAAUCGGGGCAGGGUGAGUCGACCCCUAAGGCGAGGCCGAAAGGCGUAGUCGAUGGGAAACAGGUUAAUAUUCCUGUACUUGGUGUUACUGCGAAGGGGGGACGGAGAAGGCUAUGUUGGCCGGGCGACGGUUGUCCCGGUUUAAGCGUGUAGGCUGGUUUUCCAGGCAAAUCCGGAAAAUCAAGGCUGAGGCGUGAUGACGAGGCACUACGGUGCUGAAGCAACAAAUGCCCUGCUUCCAGGAAAAGCCUCUAAGCAUCAGGUAACAUCAAAUCGUACCCCAAACCGACACAGGUGGUCAGGUAGAGAAUACCAAGGCGCUUGAGAGAACUCGGGUGAAGGAACUAGGCAAAAUGGUGCCGUAACUUCGGGAGAAGGCACGCUGAUAUGUAGGUGAAGUCCCUCGCGGAUGGAGCUGAAAUCAGUCGAAGAUACCAGCUGGCUGCAACUGUUUAUUAAAAACACAGCACUGUGCAAACACGAAAGUGGACGUAUACGGUGUGACGCCUGCCCGGUGCCGGAAGGUUAAUUGAUGGGGUCAGCGCAAGCGAAGCUCUUGAUCGAAGCCCCGGUAAACGGCGGCCGUAACUAUAACGGUCCUAAGGUAGCGAAAUUCCUUGUCGGGUAAGUUCCGACCUGCACGAAUGGCGUAAUGAUGGCCAGGCUGUCUCCACCCGAGACUCAGUGAAAUUGAACUCGCUGUGAAGAUGCAGUGUACCCGCGGCAAGACGGAAAGACCCCGUGAACCUUUACUAUAGCUUGACACUGAACAUUGAGCCUUGAUGUGUAGGAUAGGUGGGAGGCUUUGAAGUGUGGACGCCAGUCUGCAUGGAGCCGACCUUGAAAUACCACCCUUUAAUGUUUGAUGUUCUAACGUUGACCCGUGAUCCGGGUUGCGGACAGUGUCUGGUGGGUAGUUUGACUGGGGCGGUCUCCUCCUAAAGAGUAACGGAGGAGCACGAAGGUUGGCUAAUCCUGGUCGGACAUCAGGAGGUUAGUGCAAUGGCAUAAGCCAGCUUGACUGCGAGCGUGACGGCGCGAGCAGGUGCGAAAGCAGGUCAUAGUGAUCCGGUGGUUCUGAAUGGAAGGGCCAUCGCUCAACGGAUAAAAGGUACUCCGGGGAUAACAGGCUGAUACCGCCCAAGAGUUCAUAUCGACGGCGGUGUUUGGCACCUCGAUGUCGGCUCAUCACAUCCUGGGGCUGAAGUAGGUCCCAAGGGUAUGGCUGUUCGCCAUUUAAAGUGGUACGCGAGCUGGGUUUAGAACGUCGUGAGACAGUUCGGUCCCUAUCUGCCGUGGGCGCUGGAGAACUGAGGGGGGCUGCUCCUAGUACGAGAGGACCGGAGUGGACGCAUCACUGGUGUUCGGGUUGUCAUGCCAAUGGCACUGCCCGGUAGCUAAAUGCGGAAGAGAUAAGUGCUGAAAGCAUCUAAGCACGAAACUUGCCCCGAGAUGAGUUCUCCCUGACCCUUUAAGGGUCCUGAAGGAACGUUGAAGACGACGACGUUGAUAGGCCGGGUGUGUAAGCGCAGCGAUGCGUUGAGCUAACCGGUACUAAUGAACCGUGAGGCUUAACCUUACAACGCCGAAGCUGUU
Molecule: ribosomal RNA, 2929 nt
Filed under: Escherichia coli
Lineage: Bacteria; Pseudomonadati; Pseudomonadota; Gammaproteobacteria; Enterobacterales; Enterobacteriaceae
Description: 23S ribosomal RNA
Rfam family: Bacterial large subunit ribosomal RNA
Source: RNAcentral